CCUACGGGAGGCUGCAGUGGGGAAUAUUGGACAAUGGGGGGAACCCUGAUCCAGCCAUGCCGCGUGUGUGAAGAAGGCCCUCGGGUUGUAAAACACUUUCAGUGAGGAAGAACGCCUGGUGGUUAAUACCCAUCAGGAAAGACAUCACUCACAGAAGAAGCACCGGCUAACUCCGUGCCAGCAGCCGCGGUAAUACGGAGGGUGCGAGCGUUAAUCGGAAUUACUGGGCGUAAAGCGCGCGUAGGUGGCUUGAUAAGCCGGUUGUGAAAGCCCCGGGCUCAACCUGGGAACGGCAUCCGGAACUGUCAAGCUAGAGUGCAGGAGAGGAAGGUAGAAUUCCCGGUGUAGCGGUGAAAUGCGUAGAGAUCGGGAGGAAUACCAGUGGCGAAGGCGGCCUUCUGGACUGACACUGAAAAUGAGGUGCGAACGCGUGGGUAGCAAACAGGAUUAGAUACCCUAGUAGUC
RNAcentral lists this ribosomal RNA (465 nucleotides) under Vreelandella stevensii. RNAcentral describes it as "partial 16S ribosomal RNA". It matches the Rfam family "Bacterial small subunit ribosomal RNA", at positions 338 to 795 of the family's 1533-position model. Lineage: Bacteria; Pseudomonadati; Pseudomonadota; Gammaproteobacteria; Oceanospirillales; Halomonadaceae. The record is from RNAcentral.